UAAUUCGAAGAUACGCGAAAAACCUUACCUGGCCUUGACAUUGAUAGAAUCCUGUAGAGAUACGGGAGUGCCGGCUUGCCGGAACUUGAAAACAGGUGCUGCACGGCUGUCGUCAGCUCGUGUCGUGAGAUGUUGGGUUAAGUCCCGCAACGAGCGCAACCCACGUCCUUAGUUGCCAGCAUUUCGGAUGGGAACUCUAAGGAGACUGCCUUCGCAAGGAGGAGGAAGGUGUGGACGACGUCAAGUCAUCAUGGCCCUUACGGCCAGGGCUACACACGUGCUACAAUGGGGCGUACAAAGAGCAGCAAUACCGCGAGGUGGAGCAAAUCUCAAAAACGCCUCCCAGUUCAGAUUGCACUCUGCAACUCGAGUGCAUGAAGUUGGAAUCGCUAGUAAUCGUAGAUCAGCAUUGCUACGGUGAAUACGUUCCCGGGUCUUGUACUCACCGCCCGUCACACCAUGGGAGUUGAUUUCACCCGAAGCGGGGAUGCUAAAGUAGCUACCUUUCACGGUGGAAUCAGCGANUGGGGUGAAGUC
This 537-nucleotide ribosomal RNA is filed under the name uncultured Campylobacterota bacterium. RNAcentral describes it as "bacterial SSU rRNA". It matches the Rfam family "Bacterial small subunit ribosomal RNA", at positions 947 to 1487 of the family's 1533-position model. Lineage: Bacteria; Pseudomonadati; Campylobacterota. The record is from RNAcentral.